UGAGCACCUUCUUCAAGAAUGGAGAGG
Molecule: non-coding RNA, 27 nt
Filed under: Rattus norvegicus (Norway rat)
Lineage: Eukaryota; Metazoa; Chordata; Mammalia; Rodentia; Muridae
Source: RNAcentral